RNAcentral lists this ribosomal RNA (497 nucleotides) under uncultured bacterium. Its description in RNAcentral is "partial 16S ribosomal RNA". It matches the Rfam family "Bacterial small subunit ribosomal RNA", at positions 28 to 507 of the family's 1533-position model. The record is from RNAcentral.
GAUGAACGCUGGCGGCGUGCCUAAUACAUGCAAGUCGAGCGAACGGACGAGAAGCUUGCUUCUCUGAUGUUAGCGGCGGACGGGUGAGUAACACGUGGAUAACCUACCUAUAAGACUGGGAUAACUUCGGGAAACCGGAGCUAAUACCGGAUGAUAUUUUGAACCGCAUGGUUCAAAAGUGAAAGACGGUCUUGCUGUCACUUAUAGAUGGAUCCGCGCUGCAUUAGCUAGUUGGUAAGGUAAUGGCUUACCAAGGCAACGAUGCAUAGCCGACCUGAGAGGGUGAUCGGCCACACUGGAACUGAGACACGGUCCAGACUCCUACGGGAGGCAGCAGUAGGGAAUCUUCCGCAAUGGGCGAAAGCCUGACGGAGCAACGCCGCGUGAGUGAUGAGGGUCUUCGGAUCGUAAAACUCUGUUAUUAGGGAAGAACAUAUGUGUAAGUAACUGUGCACAUCUUGACGGUACCUAAUCAGAAAGCCACGGCUAACUACGUG